This 395-nucleotide ribosomal RNA is filed under the name uncultured prokaryote. Its description in RNAcentral is "partial 16S ribosomal RNA". The record is from RNAcentral.
CCCUAUGGGGUGCAGCAGGCCGAGGAUCUCCUUGUCGGACAUGCCGGCGAUGUCCUUGAGCGGGAUCUUGCCGUCAACCUUGCCGUUCUCGAAGCUUUGGUACUUCGCCAUUAUCUGACCUCCUGUUGGUCGCAGGCUUUGAGCUUCAGGCUAACCCUUGCUGUUGCGGAUGAUGGCCAUGCUCAUAUCGUGCAGAUUCUUCUGGACGUUGCUCAGCAGCUCAGUCAUCUGGGUAAACUGCCCCAUGGCCAGGUUCAAAUUGUUCAGGUCCUUCUGGAAAGUCGGGCUGUUGGGAUCGAGGUGGCCGAUCUGGCUGUUCAGGUCGGAGUACAUGUUGUCCAUCACCCCGGCCAGCGAGUUGACAAUGCUGUUGACGCCGGAAUUGGCGGGGGGGC